AUUAAACGCUGGCGGCAUGCCUUACACAUGCAAGUCGAACGGCAGCACGGGGGCAACCCUGGUGGCGAGUGGCGGACGGGUGAGUAAUGCAUCGGAACGUGCCCUGAAGUGGGGGGAUAACGCAGCGAAAGCUACGCUAAUACCGCAUAUUCUGUGAGCAGGAAAGCAGGGGAUCGCAAGACCUUGCGCUUUGGGAGCGGCCGAUGUCGGAUUAGCUAGUUGGUGGGGUAAAGGCCUACCAAGGCGACGAUCCGUAGCGGGUCUGAGAGGAUGAUCCGCCACACUGGGACUGAGACACGGCCCAGACUCCUACGGGAGGCAGCAGUGGGGAAUUUUGGACAAUGGGCGGAAGCCUGAUCCAGCCAUGCCGCGUGAGUGAAGAAGGCCUCGGUGUAAGCUCUUCGGU
RNAcentral lists this ribosomal RNA (406 nucleotides) under uncultured bacterium. RNAcentral's name for it is "bacterial SSU rRNA". It matches the Rfam family "Bacterial small subunit ribosomal RNA", at positions 29 to 439 of the family's 1533-position model. The record is from RNAcentral.